Molecule: ribosomal RNA, 484 nt
Filed under: uncultured bacterium
Lineage: Bacteria
Description: partial 16S ribosomal RNA
Rfam family: Bacterial small subunit ribosomal RNA
Source: RNAcentral
AUUGAACGCUGGCGGCAGGCCUAACACAUGCAAGUCGAGCGGAUGAAGGGAGCUUGCUCCUGGAUUCAGCGGCGGACGGGUGAGUAAUGCCUAGGAAUCUGCCUGGUAGUGGGGGAUAACGUCCGGAAACGGGCGCUAAUACCGCAUACGACCUGAGGGAGAAAGUGGGGGAUCUUCGGACCUCACGCUAUCAGAUGAGCCUAGGUCGGAUUAGCUAGUUGGUGGGGUAAAGGCCUACCAAGGCGACGAUCCGUAACUGGUCUGAGAGGAUGAUCAGUCACACGGGAACUGAGACACGGUCCAGACUCCUACGGGAGGCAGCAGUGGGGAAUAUUGGACAAUGGGCGAAAGCCUGAUCCAGCCAUGCCGCGUGUGUGAAGAAGGUCUUCGGAUUGUAAAGCACUUUAAGUUGGGAGGAAGGGCAGUAAGUUAAUACCUUGCUGUUUUGACGUUACCAACAGAAUAAGCACCGGCUAACUUCGUG